This 468-nucleotide ribosomal RNA is filed under the name uncultured bacterium. RNAcentral's name for it is "partial 16S ribosomal RNA". It matches the Rfam family "Bacterial small subunit ribosomal RNA", at positions 28 to 507 of the family's 1533-position model. The record is from RNAcentral.
GACGAACGCUGGCGGCGUGCUUAACACAUGCAAGUCGAACGGAAAGGCCCUGCUUUUGUGGGGUGCUCGAGUGGCGAACGGGUGAGUAACACGUGAGUAACCUGCCCUUGACGUUGGGAUAACUUCAGGAAACUGGGGCUAAUACCGGCUAGGAGCUCCUGCUGCAUGGUGGGGGUUGGAAAGUUUCGGCGGUUGGGGAUGGACUCGCGGCUUAUCAGCUUGUUGGUGGGGUAGUGGCUUACCAAGGCUUUGACGGGUAGCCGGCCUGAGAGGGUGACCGGCCACAUUGGGACUGCGAUACGGACCAGACUCCUACGGGAGGCAGCAGUGGGGAAUAUUGCACAAUGGGCGGAAGCCUGAUGCAGCAACGCCGCGUGCGGGAUGACGGCCUUCGGGUUGUAAACCGCUUUCGCCUGUGACGAAGCGUGAGUGACGGUAAUGGGUAAAGAAGCACCGGCUAACUACGUG